GACGAACGCUGGCGGCGUGCUUAACACAUGCAAGUCGAACGGAAAGGCCCUGCUUUUGUGGGGUGCUCGAGUGGCGAACGGGUGAGUAACACGUGAGUAACCUGCCCUUGACUUUGGGAUAACUUCAGGAAACUGGGGCUAAUACCGGAUAGGAGCUCCUGCUGCAUGGUGGGGGUUGGAAAGUUUCGGCGGUUGGGGAUGGACUCGCGGCUUAUCAGCUUGUUGGUGGGGUAGUGGCUUACCAAGGCUUUGACGGGUAGCCGGCCUGAGAGGGUGACCGGCCACCUUGGGACUGAGAUACGGCCCAGACUCCUACGGGAGGCAGCAGUGGGGAAUAUUGCACAAUGGGCGGAAGCCUGAUGCAGCAACGCCGCGUGCGGGAUGACGGCCUUCGGGUUGUAAACCGCUUUCGCCUGUGACGAAGAGUGAGUGACGGUAAUGGGUAAAGAAGCACCGGCUAACUACGUG
RNAcentral lists this ribosomal RNA (468 nucleotides) under uncultured bacterium. RNAcentral describes it as "partial 16S ribosomal RNA". It matches the Rfam family "Bacterial small subunit ribosomal RNA", at positions 28 to 507 of the family's 1533-position model. The record is from RNAcentral.